RNAcentral lists this unclassified non-coding RNA (259 nucleotides) under Hevea brasiliensis (rubber tree). Lineage: Eukaryota; Viridiplantae; Streptophyta; Magnoliopsida; Malpighiales; Euphorbiaceae. The record is from RNAcentral.
GCAGGAGCAGCGGGGACCGGUGCGACCUUAGGAACAAGAACCUGAACAGUGGACUUCUUAGAAUCCCUAAUUCCCAAAGGAUCCUUGAAAAACUCCUCGAUUCUCAAAACGUCAAGCAGGAAGUCGGCCUUGGAUUUGGCGCUGUGGAGAUCCUGCGGAAACCCUAGCGGGCAGAAGCAGAUUCGGCGACAUGUAAUUGGGCAAGCUACGUGAAAGGCCAUAGUGAAGGGAUUUUGAAUUUUUUGAGUUUUAGAGAGAG